GAGAAAAUAAGUUCGGAACAGAUUCACCAUCAACAUGAAUUAUAUAACACAAAGUUCAUUAUUUUUGGGCAAAACUCCCCUAGUCCUGGCCUUGAUGAUUCGAUCCGAUCUGUUGGCGGGCGGAUGCUGGUGGUGAAGCCCACAUAGGAACAUAAUCUACAGCAGCCCACCUGGGUGAGUGGGCUCCGGCUGCCUGGUCGCCUCUCACACACCUCGUACGGAUGGAACGUUGUGUAAUACGUCGAGACUCACAAAAUACAUUUUGUUGUAUAACUGUGUUGUGGGAUUAGUAAUGUGAUUUUGGAAAGACCAUAAAUAGACUCGACCAUGGAGAACACCAGUAGCUGCUGCAGUCUGGUGACUUUUUGUUUUUUUCUCUAGCGGAGUAAAAGUUUGGCCCUCCAAAGUCAUAACAGGAUGCACUGAGUCAUGAAAGUAUUGGAGCUUGUUUCCGACACUCAGAGGGAGUUUCAUAUCAGGAUUUUUACUCUAUGCCAGGGGUCUUCAACGUUUUUCAGGCCAAGGACCCCCAUACUGAUGGCGAGAUGGAGCAGGGACCCCCUAUUCUACAGAGUUUUGUCCGCCAUCUUUUAUCUUUGAGCUUUGCGCUUUUACGUGAGCAUGAACGUGAUCUGAUUAGCUGGUGCCUCUGCUGUCCUAUCAGCAUGAAAGAUGCUGUGAAUGAACCGGUGUCCAGCUUGAGAGCUGCUGUGGGAAGCUGGAUGUGUGUUUUGCGGACUGAAAGAUAAUGUCUUCUCCAUUAAUUUAUCCGUUCGCUACAAUAUGUUGGAUUUAUGUUUAUGUGUAACAAUAAAGAAGACAAUAAAUACAAUUCUGAUUCUGAAGACAUUUAAAUUUGUGGAAAAAAAAUUGUCUUAUCAACCAAAAAUUUCGCGACCCCCUUGCAGUACCUCCGCGGACCCCCUGUUGAAGACCUCUGCUCUAUGCGACUCUAGAGAGUGAGACCGAGAGAAAUCCACAGGCAGGACGGGGGAAGGUGUCCCGCCCCAAGGUUGACACGUGACAACAAUACCAAAACUAAAGGGCUUUUCACUUGAACGUGUGACUUUUUUAGGUUCCAGAGCACCACUGUAACCUAACACACAACUAUCAAUACACUUCAAGAUACGGCGGCGUAGUGUUCAAAAAGGCUUGAGCUCAAUACUGUGGAUCUGACCACAUAAUUAAGCAUGUUUACUCUGGAGGCUCUGAGGUAGUCGCUGUAGCCUCUUUUUCUUAUGUCACUGAUGGCGUUGACAAAUGGAGGCAAACGCAGGCUGUCAGUGGAGGUGGACCGAGGGCAGAUAAAAGCUGUCAUAGCAAAAUAUUUGCUUGACACGGCGGCCGCGAGGUCUUCAUCAGGGCAUCAAAUGUUGAAUAAAUGCAUGUAUACGUCGAUGUGGUUCUAUUCCAUUAGUAAUGGUCUUAUGUCACCAACCUUUUUACAGGAUAUAUGGGCAUGUGCAUUUAGCGUAAGUGGCACAAGCAUCACGCGCAUAGCUAAACAGUGUUUCCUUAUUUUAUGUGAGGAGGUGUAAUAAUAAAGUGCUCUAUUGGCAGCAUCUUCAAGCUUACUGUUGUCCCAUAUCUCAUCCAUAGGGGGUGGUUUCUCAUCUGAAAAACACAUUUUGGGAAUGGAAGUCAGCUACUCCCGACAAUUGACCCUUAAAACCUCAAGUCCGAAUUGCAAAUUGAAGCUUUCUCAUCUACUUGCUCAAUCGCUUAAGAAAACCUAAAAUGCACCGAGAAUUCAACCAUGAAGUGUGUAUUGAAUUAUUGUCCUCAUAAUAUGUCUGUAUGUCUGUCUGUCUGCUUCAGUCCCUCUAAAAAUAGAGCUGACCAGUCAGCAGCCACCUUCACAAUGUCUAAAUAGGACAGAGCUCUGACCGCUGUUGUUUCACUUCAUCUCUUCUGUUCGCCCUGAUCAGCAUUUUGUCCAGCUGCAGAUUUCUAAAAGUUGGCUUUUUUUCUGCUUUGAACCAAACCAGUAAUUCAGCUUUAUGCUUUAACCUGUGUUUGUGCAAUGUGAACCCACGAGGCUCGUCUUGCAAAGACGAGCAAGCACCUAAAGGUUUUACUGAGGAGGUCUUUAAGAUCCUGUGGAAAUGCAAACUUAUUGAAACUGGUCAUGUGUUGUUCUAUGAGUUCAAUUAACUGCUUUUAUCACAUCUACUGUUUAAUACAAAUAUCAGCUCUUUAUCAGUAAUAUUAUUUCACCUUUCCUUGAACAGUUUCAGUUUCUUCGGGUAAUCUGAGAAUGAAGUAAAAAAAAAAUGGGGAAGUUAAAAAAAAAUGUGUGACAGGACGUCCUCGUGGGAGGGAAGAGAUCUAUUGAGCAAUACGGCAGCUCGGUGGCGGCAGACAGUGUUGACAAGUGGAGGUGGAUGUGGGCAAGUAAAGACAAAACAACACACACACAGUUAGUAAUGGUCCUUUCAUAAUGGCCUUUGAGCUUAAACCUGUACGUCCAUAGAAGAAGAAACAAUCUGGAGCCGUCGAUGGGGAUUUUUUCUUGACAUACAUUCAAAACUCAACUGAUUAAUGACGUGACUUCUUUUUGAACGCCUGUUCAUGGACCGUUAAUGAAUUGACAAAGCUUUAUUCUGUAUUCUGCAAUAUCACAAAAAAAGGAAACCAGUUGGUCUGCAAUAUCUUAAGUCUAAACUAACAAACUUUAUUAGUCACUUUGAAGAAUCUCUUAAACCUAGUAAGAUUUCUGCGUGGUCUGUUAUGAAAGAUAUUAAUUAGGUUUUUUUAAAAGUUGGGAAAGCUCUGUAGUGAUAAAGCUGCGUAAUUUGCUGAUCUUGGAGAAACCGCGAAAUAUCCUAUUCACAAAA
Long non-coding RNA from Gasterosteus aculeatus aculeatus (three-spined stickleback), 2837 nucleotides. Lineage: Eukaryota; Metazoa; Chordata; Actinopteri; Perciformes; Gasterosteidae. The record is from Ensembl.